UUGCAAAGCAACCCCAUAUCAUCUAAUGUGCGUAGGUCCAAGGGGGUCGAUUUGUGGGUGGGGGAGAGGUCAGUGUGUGCUGGGUGUAGCAAUUUAAGAUUCACUGCAAUGGCAAUGAUCAGAUGGCCUAAAAUCAGGGGCCUGUGAUACUGUAUGAUGCUGGAUAAUUGGGUGGCAACCCAAUAUCCAAGAUGGAUCUUCCUGUGUGUGUGCAUACACCAUAGUAUGUAUAGCUCAGUUCUGGUCAAGAUGUUGGAAGCAUCCUUCCUCCCAGAAAAUGUGUAGGCUAAGAAUCUGUGAAUGUAUUUCAGGGAGGGAUUUUUCAGAUGCAGGUCUUUGGACCUGGUGGGCAAGUAGGAAUCAGGAGGAUUAUCACAUAACUCCAAAUAUGCAGAACUUGGAUUAAACUCAGCAGGGAAGUCCUAGAUAGACUCAGGGCAUUCACAACCCAUGGCGAUGCCGAAUUCCUGCAGGGACAAGCGAAAUCGCUGUCCCAAUAGCCUGAAUCCUAUUGUGUUUGGUGUGUACAUGUUGUUCAUGGCAGGUCUAUCAAAAUAAAAGGUGGUGAAGAACUCGUGUGUGAGUUCAAUGAAAGAGGGCAUGCGCAAGAAGAAAAAUUUGUCCCAACCAAUAGCAGAGAUGAGGGAGUGUACCUGGUUAUGGAGUCUCAGCGCGCCAAGGGUACCAUGGUGUAUGUACUUACCUGGGUGAUAGGGCAGAGAUAAAAUUUUGUCCAGCCUGGUGCGCUCAGAAGCCUUGUUGAAUGUCAGGGCUUGAGUGAUGUGAUCUGGGCAUGAUGGUUUAGGCAAAUCGCUGGGCAGAUCACUCGGCAUAUCGCUGGGCAUAUCACUGGGCAUAUCACUGGGCAAGUCACUGGGCAUGUCGCUGGGCAAAUUGCUUACUACGUAGCUUACGGGGUCUGUGUCAAAUGGAGUCUCUAGUUCUUGCUCUGUGCUCGGCGGUGGAGGUGGUGACGACGUUCUUGGCCAUUUUUGGCCGAGGCUAGCAGAAUGGGUGUCUUCUUGAGGUGUUUCGUCCUCCUGGGUUUCCAUUGCGACUGUGGAAAAGGAAGGUGGUGGCUCGGUCGUCGUCGCCCUUUUGCGCCGGCGAUAAGUCUGGACGUCCGGUGAGUCGGAGCGCUCGGUCGCUGUUCCAGUAGCCGGUGGCAUUUCGAUGCUGGUGGGGACUGGUGGAGUGGUGUCCCAUGCUUUGGCAUCGCUAUCAGAGGGAGUGGGUCUCGGUAGCCCUAGUCGCCGCCACAUGCCGGGUCCGCCGGUGGCCUUCAUUUUGAUUCUGACCAUGGUGGCUGUCCUCUUUCUGAAAAUACGCUCAUGGCGUGGUGUGAUGGGACCUGCAGGUGCUAUGGAAAAUAUAUCCCCCACUUUGCAAAGCAACCCCAUAUCAUCUAAUGUGCGUAGGUCCAAGGGGGUCGAUUUGUGGGUGGGGGAGAGGUCAGUGUGUGCUGGGUGUAGCAAUUUAAGAUUCACUGCAAUGGCAGUGAUCAGAUGGCCUAAAAUCAGGGGCCUGUGAUACUGUAUGAUGCUGGAUAAUUGGGUGGCAACCCAAUAUCCAAGAUGGAUCUUCCUGUAUGUGUGCAUGCACCAUAGUAUGUAUAGCUCAGUUCUGGUCAGGAUGUUGGAAGCAUCCUUCCUCCCAGAAAAUGUGUAGGCUAAGAAUCUGUGAAUGUAUUUCAGGGAGGGAUUUUUCAGAUGCAGGUCUUUGGACCUGGUGGGCAAGUAGG
This 1741-nucleotide long non-coding RNA is filed under the name Manihot esculenta (cassava). RNAcentral describes it as "long non-coding RNA (MESC_LNC003630)". The record is from RNAcentral. Lineage: Eukaryota; Viridiplantae; Streptophyta; Magnoliopsida; Malpighiales; Euphorbiaceae.